Molecule: long non-coding RNA, 750 nt
Organism: Elaeis guineensis (African oil palm)
Lineage: Eukaryota; Viridiplantae; Streptophyta; Magnoliopsida; Arecales; Arecaceae
Source: RefSeq, a predicted model, not a curated record
AUUAUUAGUUUUGCAAGGGUAAGGGAGGAAUGAAGAAUAGUUGAUGAUAUUUACUACUAGUGGUCGGCUUCUCUCCGCCGUUGCUUCUUGGCCAAUUCUGGCCGGCGACGUUGACUCGUUAAAAAAGAGGUCAACUUGUUCCGACUCCUCUAACUCGCUAUUUAUUUCCACUCUCUCCGAAGACUAGAGUCAUCUCCCCUUGGCAAUUCCGUCGCCUCUCUAUCGAUCGCUGUAUUUCGGAUCGAAUCGGAGAAGGCAGGAAGGGAAAGAAGGGAAGGAUGAAUUGGAUCAGUCGCAAGAUCCAUCUAUACAACGUCACCAUGGGCCUCUACAUGCUCGAUUGGUGGGAGCGCUGCCUUUUCAACAUAUUGAUCCUUAUUUUGCUCUGGUUCAUCUGCCACAAUGGAUCUCGUUUCGCAACCGAGUUCUAUCAAAGCCAUCUGAAGACUCAACCCUUGGCUGGUGGAAACUUUGCAAUCGGAGGGAGUGUACCAUCCUAAUUGAUGAUCAGAAUAUAAAAAAGUAAUAAUGAAGUGUGCAAUGAACUGGAUCCCGAAUUAUUCGGUGUUUUUGAAAUACAUUUUUUCCGCUCUCUUUUUCAUGUUAAAAUCGAAGCCAUUAGCUUAUUUGUACAGUAGCUUGAGAUGGGAUGUUUGUAGCAGUAUUGUUGCAUUAACGUAUGGCUUUCCCUGUGGAAAUAUUUCCUCAAUACUGUGUACUCUCUUGUUCUCUAGUUUUUCUUUGCUUUUC